This 486-nucleotide long non-coding RNA is filed under the name Panax ginseng (ginseng). Its description in RNAcentral is "long non-coding RNA (PGIN_LNC018185)". Lineage: Eukaryota; Viridiplantae; Streptophyta; Magnoliopsida; Apiales; Araliaceae. The record is from RNAcentral.
UAUUUGUUUUGGUGGUUUGUAGGCAGUUGUUGUGGAAAGUAUGAUUUACAUUUAUUUUAUUUUGACUCACAUAUUUCGAUAAUUUUUAUAUUUCAAAUAUUUUCUGGUAUACAUUGAAGGAUACUUGGUGUAAGAUGUAAAGAAUACUUUGUGUAAUUUGUAAAGUAAUGAGUCUUAUGCUCAACAUGUUGUUUCUCUAUUUUUUGCAUGUUUGUAUUUUUUGUGUUCCGUCUUUUGUAAAGUUAACUAAUUAUACAUGGUUAUGAUGAUUUUUGGGUAUGGAAUGAUGGUUUCUUUUGGUGAUUUGGAUAUGUAUUGAUGAUUGUAAAUUUUGUAGACAUGUUUAGAAUUUUCUGGAUAUCUAUUUUUAAAGAAAAUUCUGCCAAAAUUUCUUGAAAUUAGUACUGACUAGCUUGAUGUUUUGGUGGUUGGAUGUGUUGAUGAUUGAGUAUGUAUUAAUUGUUGUGGUAGUAUGGUGAAUUGUGG